RNAcentral lists this ribosomal RNA (446 nucleotides) under uncultured bacterium. RNAcentral describes it as "bacterial SSU rRNA". It matches the Rfam family "Bacterial small subunit ribosomal RNA", at positions 335 to 798 of the family's 1533-position model. The record is from RNAcentral.
UCGCCUACGGGUGGCUGCAGUGGGGAAUCUUAGACAAUGGGGGAAACCCUGAUCUAGCCAUGCCGCGUGAGCGAUGAAGGCCUUAGGGUUGUAAAGCUCUUUCAGCUGGGAAGAUAAUGACGGUACCAGCAGAAGAAGCCCCGGCUAACUCCGUGCCAGCAGCCGCGGUAAUACGGAGGGGGCUAGCGUUGUUCGGAAUUACUGGGCGUAAAGCGCACGUAGGCGGAUCAGAAAGUCAGAGGUGAAAUCCCAGGGCUCAACCUUGGAAAUGACUUUGAAACUCCUGGUCUUGAGGUCGAGAGAGGUGAGUGGAAUUCCGAGUGUAGAGGUGAAAUUCGUAGAUAUUCGGAGGAACACCAGUGGCGAAGGCGGCUCACUGGCGCGAUACUGACGCUGAGGUGCGAAAGCGUGGGGAGCAAACAGGAUUAGAUACCCGAGUAGUCAAG